AUACUUACCUGACGCGAGAGGCACCUUGAUCAACUAGGAGGUCCUCUCAGGAUGAGGCCCUUUCACUGCACUUCGACUGGGUUGACUCCUGCGAUUACCCCUAAUGUGGGUAACUCGAGCGUAUAAUUUCUGGUAGUGGGGACCUGCGUUCGCGCUCGUCCCCU
RNAcentral lists this small nuclear RNA (164 nucleotides) under Paramuricea clavata. Its description in RNAcentral is "U1 spliceosomal RNA". It matches the Rfam family "U1 spliceosomal RNA". From Rfam's summary of the family: U1 is a small nuclear RNA (snRNA) component of the spliceosome (involved in pre-mRNA splicing). Lineage: Eukaryota; Metazoa; Cnidaria; Anthozoa; Malacalcyonacea; Plexauridae. The record is from Rfam by way of RNAcentral.